AGCUGGGUGCGGGAAGAGGAAGCGCGAGUGUGGGACGGGGAGCGGCUGUGGUGAGGGGAGGUGGGUGGGAAAUGGCGGCUGGGAGUGAGGGGCCGGGGCACUUGUCCACAGGGUGAGCUGGGAGCCGGGCAGCCCCUCUGAGGAGGCUGUGCGGGAGGAUGAGCGGGGAAAGCUGAAAUCAGCUUCGUCACCAGGGAAAAAAGCCAAAGUCUCCCAAGUUUCCCAACUUCGUAUUUUUGUAAUGCUCUUUGCAGGGAGUUGGGCUCGCUUUGUGUGCAGCGAAACUUUAUUCUUACUUCAUUUUCUUAACAAAUCUCUUAAUAUAUGAGGGGUUUUUUUUGUCUCUCCGUAGUACUUUUGUCAGCUGGUGGCUUUGAUAUGUGUUACUAUUCUGGGCAUUGCUGAGUAUGUUACUCACGAUCUCUCUUAAUGCAGCUUAAUUACCUGGCAUCAUUUUUAUUCAAGCACCUAUUUCUUCUUGCAAAGAGCACUGCAAGUUAAAACAAAACCAGAUUUUGAAAUUCAGGCUUUUCAAUAAACUCUCCUGAAACUUGUUAGCACUUUAUACUCAAUUUUCCUCUGUAAAAAUCUUGCAUAUUGUUUUUCAGUUUCAGGUAAUUCUUCCUCAACCUGCUCCUGUCAAAAUUUGAGGUAUCUAAAUGCCCUAGAACCAAUGAAAAUGUGCACAGAUGUAAGAGUUUACUUUUUAAAAACAGGCAUAGAAACUCAUACUAGCCAGGGACCCUUGUCAGUAUCUGGUACUAACAAAAGUAGCUUUGCUAGGAGCAGUUCACUAAUGUUUCAGAGACUUUCUGCUUCAUUGUGUAACCUGAAAAACUACAAUUAAUUCUCUGUAGGUAAGCUGUAUAGCAGUCCACAUAUAAUGAUAUAUUUUAAAAGCAUCACAUUCAAUUCCAAGUAGCCAUCAGCCUGUAUAUGUUUUGAAAAUUUGUUUUCCUUAACGCAAACAAGACCUUUAAAACUGGUGUUGGUGAUCCUGGCAGAGGUGCUGUGAUUUGUCUGGUUUUGUACUAUUCCAAGAACAAUCGGUCACAACAGUUGCAUUUUUUUUUCAAAGAAGUUUCUGAAUUCAAGCUUUUUCCUGUUAUGUACAUGAGGAUUCUGGACAGAAUCGUGAACAAGUAUAGGAGUGAUUUUUACAUCAAUGAGCACUGAAAUGAUGUUUCUUUCCAUUAGUUGCUGAAUCACUGGUGCUACUAGGACACAGGGACAAUCACAAUGAUUUCAUACAGUUUAAUGUUACUUUUUUUUUUUCCUGUAGGUCUUCUUGAUCAGCCUAGCCCUUGCGGUCUGUGGAAUGGAAGCUAUGGUUGUAAUGCACAGUAAUUUACAAAAAUAUCUUCUGUGCUGCAAGGUCUGCCUCUUGCCAGAUGUUCCUUGACUGUGAAGAACUCUACUUUGGCUUCUUAUGCCUGUUCUUGCAAAUGCAUUCUUAAAGAUGUUCGGUGGAAAAUAUUCCACUGCACAUUGAAAACUCAUGGUCUUCUCUCUAUUUCUGGCAGGCCUUAGCAGUGUGCCCCAGCCCACAUCACCUGUGCCACAUCCUGGUGCACAGCAUGGAAAGACUUGAAGACACACCGUUCCUCUGGAAAGCGACUGAAGUGUGUGGGAAGGGAGGGAGCCCUGGUGUGCUCCAAGAGGACCUCUGCAUUGGACGAUGGGGGACUACGUGAUUAAGUAUAAGCAGCAUACCUAACUUGUAGUGUAUGUACAGCCACAGAUGUCCUUUUCUGUACCUUUCGUAUCCUACAACACACUUUCUGAAGUUUGGUGGCCGGUAUUACAGCUGUGGGCAUGAUAUGAACCCGGGUAGCAUAAAUCUAAAGAUGAUUUCUUCUUGGUUCCUUCCCUAACAAUUCCCAACAUCUGAUUUGUCAUUUUUAUUACUACUGAGUACUGAACUGAUGUUUUCAGGAAAUUAUUCAUAAAUGACUCCCAAGAUGACUCCCCUGAGUGAUAAUCACUAAUUUAGAGCCCAUCAUUGUAUAUAUAUAAUUGAGGUUGUAUUUCCCCCAUAUGUGUUACUGCAUACUGCAUACUGACAUUGCCAUUUUAUCGCCAGUUUAGUAUAGUGAGAGCCUGGAAAACACACAGCUGCAGCUCUUCCCAGUUGGCUUUUAGAUUUGACUUUUAACGAUAAUUCAGCAAACACUAGUACCUCACUGCUCACCCCCUUUCUCAGAAUAUUUAUAAAUUCAUCAAAUUGCA
Long non-coding RNA from Dromaius novaehollandiae (emu), 2229 nucleotides. RefSeq lists it as uncharacterized. NCBI's taxonomy places the organism in Eukaryota, Metazoa, Chordata, Aves, Casuariiformes, Dromaiidae. The transcript has 2 exons. The record is from RefSeq and is a predicted model, not a curated record.